CCUACGGGUGGCAGCAGUCGAGAAUCAUUCACAAUGGGGGAAACCCUGAUGGUGCGACGCCGCGUGGGGGAAUGAAGGUCUUCGGAUUGUAAACCCCUGUCAUGUGGGAGCAAAUUAAAAAGAUAGUACCACAAGAGGAAGAGACGGCUAACUCUGUGCCAGCAGCCGCGGUAAUACAGAGGUCUCAAGCGUUGUUCGGAAUCACUGGGCGUAAGGCGUGCGUAGGCUGUUUCGUAAGUCGUGUGUGAAAGGCGCGGGCUCAACCCGCGGACGGCACAUGAUACUGCGAGACUAGAGUAAUGGAGGGGGAACCGGAAUUCUCGGGGUAGCAGUGAAAUGCGUAGAUAUCGAGAGGAACACUCGUGGCGAAGGCGGGUUCCUGGACAUUAACUGACGCUGAGGCACGAAGGCCAGGGGAGCGAAAGGGAUUAGAUACCCUGGUAGUC
RNAcentral lists this ribosomal RNA (446 nucleotides) under uncultured bacterium. Its description in RNAcentral is "partial 16S ribosomal RNA". It matches the Rfam family "Bacterial small subunit ribosomal RNA", at positions 338 to 795 of the family's 1533-position model. The record is from RNAcentral.